Molecule: long non-coding RNA, 1500 nt
Organism: Cucumis melo (muskmelon)
Lineage: Eukaryota; Viridiplantae; Streptophyta; Magnoliopsida; Cucurbitales; Cucurbitaceae
Exons: 3
Source: RefSeq, a predicted model, not a curated record
AAGACACAAGUUAAAGAAGAUCAUUCAUGUCAGCGUUGACCGUAGAUGCUACUGGGUUCCAAAGGUUAAUUUCAUGGUUAAUUUCAUAAACUAAGUUUAAAAACAAAAUUUAGUCUAUAAUAUCAUGAUAACAUUUUUCAUACAAACAAAAGAAACUGACAUUUUUAUUUUCAAACGUUAUAAAAAAAAAAAAUUAAACCAAACAAACCAUAAGGGUGUCUGAAUUUUAGGUUGAUUUAAGUUUUCGGAAAAAUGAAAACUAACCCUAAACAUUAUCGUUUAUCGUGAAGUUGUGGUAAGAAGGAAAAUGUAGGGACAGAAGGGGUCUCAAUGAUUUCGGGAGGGUCAAGAGGUUUGAAGACAAGAAAAUAUCUUCGGCAACAAAUGUCGGAACUUUAGAUCCACAAAUAAUAUCAAAUGCACAGCAGCCAUUGUUGUCGUUGAGAAUUAAAAUUUUGGUAUAUAAAAAGUGAAAUUGGUUUAUCAAUUACCUAGCUAUAUAGUUUAUAAUUUUUAUAUAAGUUGGUUUACUAAUCUUCACCUUCUAGCUAUUUCAAUUUAGGAUACAUGUCAACUUUUAAUUAGUCCUAAAUUAAAUUAUUUGUAUUUUCAUUAUUAGUUUGAUAAAGCAAUUUGUGAUUGAUCCAAGAUUUUUUGCUCAACACACUUUUUCAAAUAUAGUAAAAUGAAUCAAAAUAUUUAUAAAAUAUAGCAAAAUUUUAGCUUCUAUCAAUAAUACACACAAUGAUAACCACUAAUAGAUUUUUAUCAAUGUUUAUGUGAGAGCUUGAUCGUCUCCUAAGCUAUGCGAUAAGACACUAUGUGGUAAGAGUGGAAGUGUUUCUCGCAACUUGAUGCAAUGAGACGUUUUAAUCAAGUGUUUAGAAAGUUCCUAUGCGUUUUGGUAAGAGGUGGCCUAAGAUUCCUUAUCAAAAAGUAGUUGACGUCAUUUCUUAUAUAUGUAGGACGGUGCUUAGUUCUAACCCAACCGCUCACUUAUGAUCAGAAUUUGAACGAUGAGAGCUACGUGGUAAAAUGCGAUUUGUUGAAAACUCAUCGUCAGAUAGAAGUAAUCGUUCCAAUGUGAAAAUUCUCACCGAAGAAGUAUAUAAAUAGGGAGUUCUGGGUAAGUUUUCAAGCUUAAUCUAUACUCUAGCUAAGUAAAGGCUUGAAAAUUUAUAAGGCGUUAAGAAGACUUUUCAGAGCUAUCACAUGUUCAAGGUUGACAAGGACUUUUGCUAAGUGCUUAGACCAAAAGGGAACCUCAUCUCGACUGUAUUAGAAGACCGUGUUAUACGUAUAUGGUAUUAAUGAUUCACUAAAUGCGUUGAGAUUACUCUACACAACCAUAAUUCGGCAAUGAGAGCAUAUGAAUGUCAUCUCAGUUGAGGUGAUGAGUACAAUUGUAAUUCAUUGUGAUUUUAUGUUUUACUAUUUAUGUUGAAUGGUUUACGUGAAGAAAAGAUGAACUUUCAAAGACUUUGUGAACUAAGCGAUAUG